This 687-nucleotide ribosomal RNA is filed under the name uncultured bacterium. Its description in RNAcentral is "bacterial SSU rRNA". It matches the Rfam family "Bacterial small subunit ribosomal RNA", at positions 77 to 764 of the family's 1533-position model. The record is from RNAcentral.
CCGGAAGGCGCGGGCCUUAGUGGCGGACGGGUGAGUAACGCGUGGGGAACCUGCCCCGUACCGGGGGAUAACACCUGGAAACAGGUGCUAAUACCGCAUAACAGAAGGGGACGCAUGUUUCUUUCUUGAAAACUCCGGUGGUACGGGAUGGACCCGCGUCUGAUUAGCUGGUUGGCGGGGUAACGGCCCACCAAGGCGACGAUCAGUAGCCGGCCUGAGAGGGCGGACGGCCACAUUGGGACUGAGACACGGCCCAAACUCCUACGGGAGGCAGCAGUGGGGAAUAUUGCACAAUGGGGGAAACCCUGAUGCAGCGACGCCGCGUGAGUGAAGAAGCGUUUCGGCGCGUAAAGCUCUGUCAGCGGGGAAGAAACACGGUUCGCGAGAGCCGCGGACGGUACCCGACCAAGAAGCCCCGGCUAACUACGUGCCAGCAGCCGCGGUAAUACGUAGGGGGCAAGCGUUAUCCGGAUUCACUGGGUGUAAAGGGAGCGUAGACGGCGAGACAAGUCUGGAGUGAAAGGCCGGGGCCCAACCCCGGGACUGCUCUGGAAACUGCCUGGCUGGAGUACAGGAGAGGUAAGUGGAAUUCCUAGUGUAGCGGUGAAAUGCGUAGAUAUUAGGAGGAACACCAGUGGCGAAGGCGGCUUACUGGACUGUAACUGACGUUGAGGCUCGAAAGCGUGG